Long non-coding RNA from Pecten maximus, 2441 nucleotides. RefSeq lists it as uncharacterized. NCBI's taxonomy places the organism in Eukaryota, Metazoa, Mollusca, Bivalvia, Pectinida, Pectinidae. The transcript is spliced from 5 exons. The record is from RefSeq and is a predicted model, not a curated record.
UCAUCCCUUGUGUUGUUGUAGGGGAUGCCCUAUGUUCUAUUUAUAGUCCAUCCCGUGGAAAAUGCAUGUUAGAAAAGGUUACGUACCAAUGUAUAUAGGAAUGGAGAGCCGACUGACUCGGGAGGUACUCUUUAAUACAUUAUAUGUGUUAUACACACAGUGUGGCCAGUGGCCUACAGGGAGGAAGCAGAAACGUCAUCACAGCUGUUUACCCUACUGGACAUGUCACCACCACAUACCAAGGCAGAGGUUUGUACUAGAAGUCAUGAAAUGACAGGAAUAAAGCCAAGCUGCUGUCUUCAGGAUCAAAAAAGCUGAAAUCCUGUGUUGCCUGUACCAGAACUAUGGAAAAAGGCUUAAAAAUGUACAGAGAAAUCUGAAGAACUUUAAAGGUUAGCAGAACCCAGAACUACGCAGCUGAAGGCCGUCUGUUUCGGCUGAGGAGAGGCAUGGUGUUGGUCAUGGUGACAGGACAGUAUCCCCACGUGGGUUUGAUCCCCAGAAACCCUGGUAUGAUUCACAACAGGUCUUACACAACACAAGAGAAAGCUGGACCAACUACAACCGGCACUGAUAAACAACUUGAACAAUAUAGGUCAGAAAAGUCCCAGGCAGUCCCAAGUGGAGUCAGGGACAGAAAGUCCCAUUCAAUUCCUACUGGAGGUAAGGACAGGAAGUCCCAUUCAGUUGUUACUGGAGUCUCAAGGAUUUCAGAAAGUUCCUUUCAGUUCUUGGAUUAACACCAAAAGCACACAAAGCACUCACAGGCCUCAGAGUGACUGCAGAGCUGGAUCACCAAGUGCAGGACAAGUUGGAGGCUGUAACACAAUCACUAAGGAACCUGUCAGUUACCCAGGUAUUGUUGGGUACAACGCAGAGGUCUGGACUAAAUGUACACGUAUACGGUAUAUAGGUCUUCACAGAGCUCCAGGUCACUACACACAACUUCUCACAAAAUGUGCAAACCUUAUUACUCCUGUCUGAAUCAGGUUCAAUGCGAGAGUUCAGAAGCUGUCCAGGGCUAUUAUGACAGACCAAAGCCAUUUACAGCAGCUAAUGUCCAGUGCCUGGCAGAUACAAGUACUUAGUCUCCACGACCACUUCUCCUGUCGACCAGUUCUGUUAAUGGUAUAUACCACAAGCAGAUGACAGACCUACCUGCUUUUUGCUAAUUGGCCUGAGGUUUUGUGUACAUCGUGAGUUUAAUACUGAAAAAGGAAACUAUUAAUCACGGUAAUCCCAGAAUCUUUAUUUCAAUUAUCAUCAUAGAAAUGGUCCAAUGGAAUCUCUCUGUAUAUUACCUCAACACUUCCAGGCAAAUAUUUUCUAUAUUUAUUAUGAGGUAAGUGAAUGAAUAGAUGGCAGAUUUUGUAACAUCUUAAUGCAAUCAUUUGUUCAGUUUAUGCUGCGGUCGAAAAUCAAUAAUGUAUACUGUAUACAUACACAAUGCCAGUUCUAAGUGAUUUAUAUAUAGCCACUUGCAUUCAACGCUGGGAAUUCUAGUUGAUUCUGUCAUCUCGUUAUCAACACAAUAACGAGACGUCAAAAGACACCUGUGGCAAUUUAACUUUUCUACAUGAAUUUUUCACAAAAAAAGAUAAGGACAUUUUUAAACAGAAAACAGUAUUGAUUUUGGUAACAUAAUCUUUCGAAUAUUAUAUGAUAUUUAAACCAACUUUCAGAUAUAUAUACAUAAUGUAGGCAAAAGAGGAAAAUGGAGGUAACUGUAUCAAAACUUAUGUCAGAGAAAUCUCAGAAAGUUUCUCAGUAUAAGAAAAAAUAAAUAAAUUAUCACCAUAUUCAUGUUCCCGCUCAAGCUAAUGGUCUACCUAAAUACAACAGUGAUAAAAGUUAAUAUUCAUCGAACCCCAGAUAACAACAACACUUACAUGUAAGUAUAUUAAGGAGCAUGCAUGCAUAAAGCUAAGUACAGUACAACUUCUAUUUAAUUCACAAACACAUUCCCAGUCUUCAUGUAUUGUUAUCAUAUCAGUACAGCAAACCUUACAGGCCAGACAUUCUCUUAUCGGUAAAGGCUUUCCACGCAAUAGUUAAAGUCUUCAAGGUCAUGACCUCAGACUGUGACUUUUAUAUGUGGUAUAUGUCAACAGUGUCAUGGCUAAAAUAAAUUCAGAAGGAAUAUACCUGGGUACACAGAUAAUGUGAUGAAUGACUUGAAUGCGCAGACAUCAAUAAAAGAGGCCCAUGAGGGCCGUUAUCCAUCAUCUACACUGAACAUGGCAAAUCAGCAUGUAACAUGUAAAUUAAGUGUCAUUUCAAGUCAUUAAAUUAUGAUUUAAGGAUAGGAUGCUGUUUUUCCUGAAAGACUGAGAGAGAGAUUGAGUGAAAAUGUUGAUUCUACUUUGAAAUUGUUGAAACUGGAGACAAGAGCUACCUUUUCAAACAAAACCCUUUCAAAACUGAUCCAUAUUCACAGUGAC